This 64-nucleotide transfer RNA is filed under the name Ixodes ovatus. Its description in RNAcentral is "tRNA-His". Lineage: Eukaryota; Metazoa; Arthropoda; Arachnida; Ixodida; Ixodidae. The record is from RNAcentral.
ACUUGAUUAGUUUAUUUCUCAAAAUUUUAAAUUGUGGAUUUAAAGAAGACAAAAUCAUCAGGUA